This 282-nucleotide ribosomal RNA is filed under the name uncultured Peptoniphilus sp. RNAcentral describes it as "partial 16S ribosomal RNA". The stretch from base 43 to 282 matches the Rfam family "Bacterial small subunit ribosomal RNA", at positions 100 to 339 of the family's 1533-position model. The record is from RNAcentral. Lineage: Bacteria; Bacillati; Bacillota; Tissierellia; Tissierellales; Peptoniphilaceae.
UUGACAGAUCCCUUCGGGGUGAAGAUAAGAUGGAUUAGCGGCGGACGGGUGAGUAACACGUGAGUAACCUGCCUUAGACAUUGGGAUAGCCUCGGGAAACCGGGAUUAAUACCAAAUGAAAUCAUAGGUGCCCAUGCACUAAUGAUCAAAAACUCCGGUGGUCUAAGAUGGACUCGCGUCCCAUUAGCUAGUUGGUGAGGUAACGGCCCACCAAGGCGACGAUGGGUAGCCGGCCUGAGAGGGUGACCGGCCACAUUGGGACUGAGACACGGCCCAAACUCC